RNAcentral lists this ribosomal RNA (818 nucleotides) under uncultured Hyphomicrobiales bacterium. RNAcentral's name for it is "bacterial SSU rRNA". It matches the Rfam family "Bacterial small subunit ribosomal RNA", at positions 8 to 869 of the family's 1533-position model. Lineage: Bacteria; Pseudomonadati; Pseudomonadota; Alphaproteobacteria; Hyphomicrobiales. The record is from RNAcentral.
AGAGUUUGAUCCUGGCUCAGAGCGAACGCUGGCGGCAGGCUUAACACAUGCAAGUCGAGCGGGCGUAGCAAUACGUCAGCGGCAGACGGGUGAGUAACGCGUGGGAACAUACCUUUUGGUUCGGAACAACACAGGGAAACUUGUGCUAAUACCGGAUAAGCCCUUACGGGGAAAGAUUUAUCGCCGAAAGAUUGGCCCGCGUCUGAUUAGCUAGUUGGUGAGGUAACGGCUCACCAAGGCGACGAUCAGUAGCUGGUCUGAGAGGAUGAUCAGCCACAUUGGGACUGAGACACGGCCCAAACUCCUACGGGAGGCAGCAGUGGGGAAUAUUGGACAAUGGGCGCAAGCCUGAUCCAGCCAUGCCGCGUGAGUGAUGAAGGCCCUAGGGUUGUAAAGCUCUUUUGUGCGGGAAGAUAAUGACGGUACCGCAAGAAUAAGCCCCGGCUAACUUCGUGCCAGCAGCCGCGGUAAUACGAAGGGGGCUAGCGUUGCUCGGAAUCACUGGGCGUAAAGGGUGCGUAGGCGGGUAUUUAAGUCAGGGGUGAAAUCCUGGAGCUCAACUCCAGAACUGCCUUUGAUACUGAGUAUCUUGAGUACGGGAGAGGUGAGUGGAACUGCGAGUGUAGAGGUGAAAUUCGUAGAUAUUCGCAAGAACACCAGUGGCGAAGGCGGCUCACUGGCCCGUUACUGACGCUGAGGCACGAAAGCGUGGGGAGCAAACAGGAUUAGAUACCCCUGGUAGUCCACGCCGUAAACGAUGAUGCAGCCGUUUAAGUGGGGUUUACUCACUAGUGGCGCAGCUAACGCUUUAAGCAUUC